CCUUUUCCUCAAGGCUGAGCAGCAUCAAAUUUUGGAAACUUCUCCUUUAGCAUGCUGUAGGACUCCCAAGUGGCAUCUUCCUUUGGUAAGUUGGCCCAUUGCACCAGCACUUCAGUUACAGGAUGUCUGCGGUACAUUGUAACUCGUCGAUCAAGUAUGACUUGUGGUUGAGCUUGAACUUCCCCAGUAGUAGAAGUGUCCGGCAAAUGGCACUGCACUAUUGCAUCUUCACCCAAUUUCCUUUUAAGGCAUGCAACAUGAAAGACUGGAUGUAUUUUAGAGCUAGCAGGCAAAUCCAAG
RNAcentral lists this long non-coding RNA (300 nucleotides) under Musa acuminata (dwarf banana). Its description in RNAcentral is "long non-coding RNA (MACU_LNC003826)". Lineage: Eukaryota; Viridiplantae; Streptophyta; Magnoliopsida; Zingiberales; Musaceae. The record is from RNAcentral.